GAUGAACGCUGGCGGCGUGCCUAAUACAUGCAAGUCGAGCGAACGGACGAGAAGCUUGCUUCUCUGAUGUUAGCGGCGGACGGGUGAGUAACACGUGGAUAACCUACCUAUAAGACUGGGAUAACUUCGGGAAACCGGAGCUAAUACCGGAUAAUAUUUUGAACCGCAUGGUUCAAAAGUGAAAGACGGUCUUGCUGUCACUUAUAGAUGGAUCCGCGCUGCAUUAGCUAGUUGGUAAGGUAACGGCUUACCAAGGCAACGAUGCAUAGCCGACCUGAGAGGGUGAUCGGCCACACUGGAACUGAGACACGGUCCAGACUCCUACGGGAGGCAGCAGUAGGGAAUCUUCCGCAAUGGGCGAAAGCCUGACGGAGCAACGCCGCGUGAGUGAUGAAGGUCUUCGGAUCGUAAAACUCUGUUAUUAGGGAAGAACAUAUGUGUAAGUAACUGUGCACAUCUUGACGGUACCUAAUCAGAAAGCCACGGCUAACUACGUGCCAGCAGCCGCGGUAAUACGUAGGUGGCAAGCGUUAUCCGGAAUUAUUGGGCGUAAAGCGCGCGUAGGCGGUUUUUUAAGUCUGAUGUGAAAGCCCACGGCUCAACCGUGGAGGGUCAUUGGAAACUGGAAAACUUGAGUGCAGAAGAGGAAAGUGGAAUUCCAUGUGUAGCGGUGAAAUGCGCAGAGAUAUGGAGGAACACCAGUGGCGAAGGCGACUUUCUGGUCUGUAACUGACGCUGAUGUGCGAAAGCGUGGGGAUCAAACAGGAUUAGAUACCCUGGUAGUCCACGCCGUAAACGAUGAGUGCUAAGUGUUAGGGGGUUUCCGCCCCUUAGUGCUGCAGCUAACGCAUUAAGCACUCCGCCUGGGGAGUACGACCGCAAGGUUGAAACUCAAAGGAAUUGACGGGGACCCGCACAAGCGGUGGAGCAUGUGGUUUAAUUCGAAGCAACGCGAAGAACCUUACCAAAUCUUGACAUCCUUUGACAACUCUAGAGAUAGAGCUUUCCCCUUCGGGGGACAAAGUGACAGGUGGUGCAUGGUUGUCGUCAGCUCGUGUCGUGAGAUGUUGGGUUAAGUCCCGCAACGAGCGCAACCCUUAAGCUUAGUUGCCAUCAUUAAGUUGGGCACUCCAAGUUGACUGCCGGUGACAAACCGGAGGAAGGUGGGGAUGACGUCAAAUCAUCAUGCCCCUUAUGAUUUGGGCUACACACGUGCUGCAAUGGACAAUACAAAGGGCAGCGAAACCGCGAGGUCAAGCAAAUCCCAUAAAGUUGUUCUCAGUUCGGAUUGUAGUCUGCAACUCGACUACAUGAAGCUGGAAUCGCUAGUAAUCGUAGAUCAGCAUGCUACGGUGAAUACGUUCCCGGGUCU
Molecule: ribosomal RNA, 1372 nt
Filed under: uncultured bacterium
Lineage: Bacteria
Description: bacterial SSU rRNA
Rfam family: Bacterial small subunit ribosomal RNA
Source: RNAcentral